RNAcentral lists this ribosomal RNA (467 nucleotides) under uncultured bacterium. Its description in RNAcentral is "bacterial SSU rRNA". It matches the Rfam family "Bacterial small subunit ribosomal RNA", at positions 329 to 793 of the family's 1533-position model. The record is from RNAcentral.
GGCCAGACUCCUACGGGAGGCAGCAGUGAGGAAUAUUGGUCAAUGGGAGAGAUCCUGAACCAGCCAAGCCGCGUGAGGGAAGACGGCCCUAUGGGUUGUAAACCUCUUUUGUCGGAGAACAAAACCCGGGACGUGUCCCGGACUGCGUGUAUCCGAAGAAAAAGCAUCGGCUAACUCCGUGCCAGCAGCCGCGGUAAUACGUAGGGGGCAAGCGUUAUCCGGAUUCACUGGGUGUAAAGGGAGCGUAGACGGCGGCGCAAGUCCGGAGUGAAAGCCCGGGGCCCAACCCCGGGACUGCUCUGGAAACUGCGGCGCUGGAGUACGGGAGGGGCAGGCGGAAUUCCUGGUGUAGCGGUGAAAUGCGUAGAUAUCAGGAGGAACACCGGCGGCGAAGGCGGCCUGCUGGACCGUGACUGACGUUGAGGCUCGAGAGCGUGGGGAGCAAACAGGAUUAGAUACCCGAGUAC